RNAcentral lists this ribosomal RNA (397 nucleotides) under uncultured bacterium. RNAcentral describes it as "partial 16S ribosomal RNA". It matches the Rfam family "Bacterial small subunit ribosomal RNA", at positions 523 to 918 of the family's 1533-position model. The record is from RNAcentral.
AUACGUAGGGGGCGAGCGUUGUCCGGAAUGAUUGGGCGUAAAGGGCGCGUAGGCGGCCCGGUAAGUCUGGAGUGAAAGUCCUGUUUUUAAGAUGGGAAUUGCUUUGGAUACUGUCGGGCUUGAGUGCAGGAGAGGUAAGUGGAAUUCCCAGUGUAGCGGUGAAAUGCGUAGAUAUAUGGAGGAACACCAGUGGCGAAGGCGGCUCUCUGGUCUGUAACUGACGCUGAGGCUCGAAAGCGUGGGGAGCAAACAGGAUUAGAUACCCUGGUAGUCCACGCCGUAAACGAUGAGUGCUAAGUGUUGGAGGGUUUCCGCCCUUCAGUGCUGCAGCUAACGCAUUAAGCACUCCGCCUGGGGAGUACGGCCGCAAGGCUGAAACUCAAAGGAAUUGACGGGG